This 831-nucleotide ribosomal RNA is filed under the name uncultured archaeon. Its description in RNAcentral is "bacterial SSU rRNA". It matches the Rfam family "Archaeal small subunit ribosomal RNA", at positions 51 to 859 of the family's 1478-position model. The record is from RNAcentral.
AUGCAUGUCGAGCGCUCUUCAGCUAUGUAGAGAGCGCGGCGAACGGCUCAAUAACACGUAGUUAACCUACCCUCGGGAUGGGAAUAACCCCGGGAAACUGGGAUUAAUACCCACUAGAUGAUUAUACCUGGAAUGGCUUAUCAUCGAAAGAGUCUGGAAACAUGCUUCCAGCGUCGCCCGAGGAUGGGACCGCGUCCGAUCAGGCUGUUGGUGGGGUAACGGCUCACCAAACCUAUAACCGGUACGGGCCCUGAGAGGGGGAGCCCGGAGAUGGGAACUGAGACAAGGUCCCAGGCCCUACGGGGCGCAGCAGGCGCGAAACCUCCACAAUGCGCGAAAGCGUGAUGGGGUUAUCCCGAGUGCCGUCCGUUGAGGAGGGCUUUUCCCCAGUGUAAGGAGCUGGGGGAAUAAAGGGGGGGCAAGACUGGUGUCAGCCGCCGCGGUAAUACCAGCCCCCUGAGUUAUAGGGACGAUUAUUUAGCCUAAAGCGUUCGUAGCCGGCUCAGCAAGUCUUUCGUUAAAUCUAACGACUCAAUCGUUGGGCCGCGGAAGAUACUACUAGGCUUGAGGACGGGAGAGGUCGACGGUAUUCCCGGUGUAGGGGUGAAUUCCAAUAAUCCCGGGAGGACCACCAGUGGCGAAGGCGGUCGACCAGAACGUGCCUGACGGUGAUGGACGAAAGCUGGGGGAGCAAACCGGAUUAGACACCCGGGUAGUCCCAGCUGUAAACGAUGCGAGCUAGGUGUUGGGGUAGCCACGAGCUGUCCCAGUGCCGCAGAGAAGUUGUUAAGCUCGCCGCUUGGGGAGUACGGCCGCAAGGUUGAAACUUAA